GCGGAUUCCAAACAUUCCAAUAAACCAAAUUCCAUAGACCUAUUUUACGUCCGUUUUUCCCUAUGCUGAUACGCCUUUGGUGAUUCUCCUUCUCAUCUUCGCCUUCAAUUCUAUCAUAAUCACACAAUCCCCAUUCUAUUUACUUUGAAUCGUAAAUCCAAACCCUAAAAUUUUUCCAGAAAACCCACUCGGAUUUUGGGUUUUGCUUAAUUUUCUAUAUAUUAACAUAAUUGCGUUGUUUUUGGGGGCUUUAGUAUUAUUGUUUGUGUCAGGUUUUCAAAGUACCCUUUGAAGCCUUGAUUUGGUUUUUCUUCAUCUGGGGGUUGUUUCACUUUGCAAGCUGGCUAUGGACUACGAGCCGUAUGACAGCAGUGGAACAGAUGAUGACCUCCCCCCAUCACAUCAAAAUAGGAUUCCAAGAGGUGGUGGCCGCAUGAAUGGAAAUGGGAGAUCUGCUGUAAUGGCUUCUGUACCCUACCAAAGGAUGUAUGGUGAAACUGACAUGGAGGCUCAAAUCCAUCAGCUUGAGCAAGAAGCAUACAGUUCGGUUCUAAGAGCCUUUAAAGCUCAAGCUGAUGCCAUUACUUGGGAGAAAGAAAGUUUGAUAACAGAGCUUAGAAAGGAGUUGAGAUUAUCUAAUGAGGAGCAUAGAGAGCUUCUUGGCCAGGUUAAUGCAGAUGAUAUGAUAAGGAGAAUAAGGGAGUGGAGACAGACUGGUGGGCUUCAAUCCGGCAUGCUUGGUACCGGUCAAGCUGUUCAUGACCCAAUACCCAGCCCUACUGUCUCUGUAUCUCGCAAGAAACAGAAGAUUACUUCAUCAGUACCUUCUCAAUCCUUUGGUGGACCAUCUCCUUCGUUUCACCCACAAGCUGUUUCUGCUUCACAUCAGCCAUCUUCAUCAACUGCUAAACGAGGACCUGUCUCAGGAUCAAAGAGCAAGAAGCAAAAACCUGUUUUACCUGGUGCUUCAUCAAUUAAGUCCAUUCCAUACCCAUCCUCAGGUCCAUCGGGAAGGGGUCAAGUAGCAAAUAGGGUUUCUUCUGGUGCUGCUCCUGAAGGGGCUACACGAGAAUCAUUAAUUGGGAAGAGAGUCAAGACUAGGUGGCCUGAUGAUAAUAACUUUUAUGAAGCUGUUAUAACUGACUACAAUCCAGUUGAGGGACGGCAUGCUUUGGUGUAUGAUAUUGGCUCGGCAAAUGAGACAUGGGAAUGGGUUAAUCUUUCAGAGAUCUCUCCUGAGGAUAUACAAUGGGAAGGCGAGGGCCCUGGUGUCUCUCAUCGAGGGGGUUAUGGUGGAUCAGGCCUUGCAAUGAAUAGAUCGGUAGGUCGGGAUAGUGUUCCAGGUGUAGGAAGAGGUAGAGGUAUCACAAAGGGUCAAUCCAGAAAAGAUUUGUUGCCAUCACAGAAUGGAAUUGGAAAGAAGUUGCCAGAUGAUAUACAAAUUCUUCACACUGAUACUCUAAUCAAGGAAGUGGAGAGAUUAUUUGGUGCAAAUCAUCCUGAUCCUCUUGAGAUUGAAAAGGCAAAGAAAGUGUUGAAGGACCAAGAACAAUCACUUAUUGAUGCAAUUGCAAGGCUUGGAGAUAUUUCGGAUGGUGAAAGUGAUGAGGGAGGCCACCACUAUGGGCAGGCAAUGGAGAGAGAAUGACAGGAACAGUUUUUUGAUGGAAUGCUGCAUAUCUUAUGCUUUCAGUUGCAAAAUGGCUGGAGAAAGGGAAGACUCAGAGAUGACAAAAGAUGGGAUAGAAGAGACUGACGGAAUCUUUAGAGAGAUGCAUCUGACUUGAAGGUCAUUUUCUUGUAUAAUACUUUGCUAUAAUUAUAUGUUUCUCCUCAAAUAUGGGAUGACUUUGGGUUUGGGUUAUUUAGGAUAGGUAUUGUAGGCAAGCAAAUUGUUGUAGCCAGGUGAUAAAUUUUUAGUUAGCAGUAAAAUCUUGUUUAGUAAUUAGUUUGCUCGUGAUGUAUAAAUUUUGUGUUAUGGCUACAUCUUUUUUACACUGGGAGUUGCAAAUAACUUUCUCGCAGUCCAUGUAACUUGGAUGAAAAGAAUCAUCUUUCUGAUUUUUCUUGUUAAUGAUAAAAAUAGCAUUUUGUGAGUUGUUUUAAUGAGACCUUCUGUUCCUG
RNAcentral lists this unclassified non-coding RNA (2124 nucleotides) under Hevea brasiliensis (rubber tree). Lineage: Eukaryota; Viridiplantae; Streptophyta; Magnoliopsida; Malpighiales; Euphorbiaceae. The record is from RNAcentral.